Molecule: ribosomal RNA, 253 nt
Filed under: uncultured bacterium
Lineage: Bacteria
Description: partial 16S ribosomal RNA
Rfam family: Bacterial small subunit ribosomal RNA
Source: RNAcentral
UACGUAGGGGGCAAGCGUUGUCCGGAAUCAUUGGGCGUAAAGAGCGUGUAGGCGGCCCGAUAAGUCCGCUGUGAAAGUCCAGGGCUCAACCCUGGGAUGCCGGUGGAUACUGUCGGGCUCGAGUCCGGAAGAGGAGUGUGGAAUUCCUGGUGUAGCGGUGAAAUGCGCAGAUAUCAGGAGGAACACCAAUGGCGAAGGCAGCACUCUGGGACUUGACUGACGCUGAGACGCGAAAGCGUGGGGAGCAAACAGG